This 467-nucleotide ribosomal RNA is filed under the name uncultured Planctomycetota bacterium. RNAcentral's name for it is "bacterial SSU rRNA". It matches the Rfam family "Bacterial small subunit ribosomal RNA", at positions 372 to 829 of the family's 1533-position model. The record is from RNAcentral. Lineage: Bacteria; Pseudomonadati; Planctomycetota.
UGCCCGAAAGGGUGACGAUGCGACGCCGCGUGAGCGAAGAAGGCCCUAGGGUUGUAAAGCUCUGUCAGGGGUUAAGAAAUGUAGAUAGGUUAAUACCCUGUUUAUUUGACAAAAGCCCCAAAGGAAGCCACGGCUAACUCUGUGCCAGCAGCCGCGGUAAUACAGAGGUGGCAAGCGUUGUUCGGUAUUAUUGGGCGUAAAGAGCACGUAGGUGGUUUUGUAAGUCAGAUGUGAAAGCCUUCUGUUCAAAGGAAGAACGGCAUCUGAAACUGCAAAUCUUGAGUGUAGGAGGGGAGAGUGGAACUUCUGGUGGAGCGGUGAAAUGCGUAGAUAUCAGAAGGAACGUCGGCGGCGAAAGCGACUCUCUGGCCUAUUACUGACACUGAGUGUGCGAAAGUUAGGGGAGCAAACGGGAUUAGAUACCCCGGUAGUCCUAGCCGUAAACGAUGGGCACUAAGUAGAGGGGU